CCUACGGGAGGCAGCAGUAGGGAAUAUUGCUCAAUGGGGGAAACCCUGAAGCAGCAACGCCGCGUGGAGGAUGAAGGUUUUCGGAUUGUAAACUCCUUUUGUUAGAGAAGAUAAUGACGGUAUCUAACGAAUAAGCACCGGCUAACUCCGAGCCAGCAGCCGCGGUAAUACGGAGGGUGCAAGCGUUACUCGGAAUCACUGGGCGUAAAGAGGGCGUAGGCGGGAUAGCAAGUCAGAUGUGAAAUCCUAUGGCUUAACCAUAGAACUGCAUUUGAAACUGGUAUUCUAGAGUAUGGGAGAGGUAGGUGGAAUUCUUGGUGUAGGGGUAAAAUCCGUAGAGAUCAAGAGGAAUACUCAUUGCGAAGGCGACCUGCUAGAACAUAACUGACGCUGAUGCGCGAAAGCGUGGGGAGCAAACAGGAUUAGAUACCCGGGUAGUC
Molecule: ribosomal RNA, 440 nt
Filed under: uncultured bacterium
Lineage: Bacteria
Description: partial 16S ribosomal RNA
Rfam family: Bacterial small subunit ribosomal RNA
Source: RNAcentral